GGUCAGGACGAACGCUGGCGCGUGCCUAAUACAUGCAAGUCGAACGGCUUUUCUAUGGAAGCUUGCUUCCACUGAGAAGAUAGUGGCGAACGGGUGAGUAACACGUGGGUAACCUGCCCAUAAGAGGGGGAUAACAUCCGGAAACGGGUGCUAAUACCGCAUAGUUUUCUUGAUCGCAUGAUUGAGAAAGGAAAGACGGCCUUUGUGCUGUCGCUUAUGGAUGGACCCGCGGCGUAUUAGUUAGUUGGUGAGGUAACGGCUCACCAAGACGAUGAUACGUAGCCGACCUGAGAGGGUGAUCGGCCACAUUGGGACUGAGACACGGCCCAAACUCCUACGGGAGGCAGCAGUAGGGAAUCUUCCGCAAUGGACGAAAGUCUGACGGAGCAACGCCGCGUGAGUGAAGAAAGGUUUUCGGAUCGUAAAACUCUGUUGUCAGAGAAGAACAAGUUGGAGAGUAACUGCUCCAGCCUUGACGGUAUCUGACCAGAAAGCCACGGCUAACUACGUGCCAGCAGCCGC
Molecule: ribosomal RNA, 522 nt
Filed under: uncultured bacterium
Lineage: Bacteria
Description: bacterial SSU rRNA
Rfam family: Bacterial small subunit ribosomal RNA
Source: RNAcentral